Carya illinoinensis is the source of this 1937-nucleotide long non-coding RNA. RefSeq lists it as uncharacterized. The record is from RefSeq and is a predicted model, not a curated record. Lineage: Eukaryota; Viridiplantae; Streptophyta; Magnoliopsida; Fagales; Juglandaceae. The transcript has 3 exons.
CCCUUGCAGUUUAUUCACUACCGCUUUACUACUUGUCCUAUGUGGAUAAUUUUUUCAUUUUCUUUUCAUAGCAGCCAAACGCUAUAGUGAAUGUUGAAAUUUUUGUCAUGCUUUGACAGUAGUUGAAUGUACAGUACUCUUCAGACGAUUUUUUUAACUGGCGACCAAAAUCAAGACCCUCUCCAAAACCCACCCGAACUCCUUUUUCUCUUCUCCAGGACCUUGCUCCUCUCCACCGCAAACCAACUGGUGUGGGAACAAUGGCGCCGUCGAAGGUGAGAUACCCAUCGCCCAUACCCACUCCUGAAACCAAUCUCCCUCUCUCUCUCUCUCUCUGCGCACCCUAGCGUUGCUUCCAGGCCGAGCCUCCUCUGCUCUUGGGGUUGCACCUCCUAUGGUGUGGUCACCAUUCAACGAUGCCUUCAAAGGAUUUGGGAGGUUUGGGCAAAAUCACACUAGGUCUGGCACCACCCCCGCACAGUUGACCACCCUCCUAAGCCGCUAGUUGAAGACUUGAAUCAUGCAGUUCUCACUUGUGCUCUACUCCGAGAGUGCUGGCAGUAGCUGAUGCCUGGGUUAAACAUAAAUGCUUCUGCUUCUAUAUUUGAUGCACUUCUACAAUGAUGUCAGAGGAUGGAGUUUGACAAGAUGGCCACAUUUUGCUCACUACUUUGGAGUUUUUGGUAUAGACAAAACAAAAGGAAUUUGAGCAGCUUGAGUUGCCACCACUACAGGUUGCUGAGCAUGCUUUAGGCAUCUUGAGGAGGUUCAAAUUUGUGAAGGGUCAAUCUCGUUUAAAGGCGCAACAGUCUUUACAGUGGUCUCCUCCUCCAGCUGAGUAUUUAAAGCUUAAUACUGAUGGCGCUCUUUUCAGUGAUGUUCGUAAGGCUGGUAUUGAGGCUAUUAUAAGAGAUGCUGUAGGUAAGGUAGUUAUGGCUGCUAGUUUGGUUGCACAGGAAGUCAAUCAGCCUGAAACUAUUGAAUUGUUGGCUGUGUUUUAGGGCAUGCAGCUUUGUAUUGGCAUGGGUAUUUGAAAUUUAAUUGUGAAGUCGGAUUGUCUUUUACUUAUUAAUUCCUUGCAGAAGAAUGACAUGAUAGAUUUGGCUUCUGGUUCUCUAUUUGCUGAAGUUCUAUGCUUGCAAACUUAUUUUGCUUCUUGCUCUUAUACUCAUGUUUAUAGGGAGGGUAAUGUGGCAGCACAUAGUCUUGCCCGUCAUGCUUGGAAGGUUGAGAAUAUUGAGAAGUGGGGAGAUUGUAUUCUAGACUUUCUUUCUUAAGCUCUUUGGCUUGAUAAAUGUCUGUAAUCAUCUGAUUAAUCAAUGAAGUUGUUAUUGCUUAUCAAAAAAAAAAAAAAAAAAAAUUAACAAAUAGAUUCCUAAGAAAAUCUUCCAUUGAAAACAAUCUAUCAUGGCAAGGUGGAGUACAGUGAGUGGGGUUUCUAAAAUAUUACAUUUGCUAGUGUUUCAUUAUGGAUCUCAACUUCAUUAGUUUAAUCUGACCAGUGCAUGCUUUGUUGUGUGACGGCUUUGGUAGUGCAAAAUGUCCACAAAUUUUGUGUUAAACUCAACUACUUAGAAUGUUUUACCAGUUCGGCAAACGGUAUCUAAGCAAAGAUCAACAAUGGGCAUUGAGGCUACCUGCCAUCUUAAUGGAUUUGAGAAUGAAGCACACAAAAUCAAGAUUCUCAUGCGUAGAUAUAGGGCUGCACUUACAAUGUCUUGGAUUUUUUUCUUAGUUGUAUUAAUAUGGUUGCUAUUAAUUUAACUAUUUCGAACCAUCUUGAAAAUUUUGCUGGUUUUCUGGUUGAAAAUAUUGUAUAUACUACUACUUGGAAAAGCUAUGUUUGGUAUGUAUGCUCUAAUAUGAUGAAAAUAUUGUAUAUGUUUACUUCUCCCUAGAAUGGAAAAGUUCCAUAUAUAUAACCCUUUUAUUCACGC